This is a long non-coding RNA of Humulus lupulus (European hop), 691 nucleotides long. RefSeq lists it as uncharacterized. The transcript has 2 exons. The record is from RefSeq and is a predicted model, not a curated record. NCBI's taxonomy places the organism in Eukaryota, Viridiplantae, Streptophyta, Magnoliopsida, Rosales, Cannabaceae.
UUAAACAGUUUUCGUUUCUUUUUUUCUUCUUUGUGCUACCACUACUCUUUUCAUCUUCCUCCAUGUGAGCCUCUCUUCAUCAAUGACCUCUUCUCUUGAUAGUUUCCUGGUGGUGGAGACUGUCACCUAAAGUCAUUGAAGCUAACAAAUGAAAUGCAUCAUGAUCUUGGUUGGUGAAUUUGCAUACACUGUAAGAUCCAAUAUAAGUACAAUCCAUACUCGGUAUAUUUAUGUUGAUGGUUCCACCUUUCUAUACAAGUCUCAUCCCAAGAAAUGAACAUAAAAGAGGGAUUGGUGUGGAGAACAUCAAAAAGAGACUUGUGAACUCGAAUGGACCCCAACAUACGAGCAGCCAAAGAUAACUCUUGAAAAGCUUAUUGGGUAUGGAAACAUGCUUGUUGAAGAGCAAGAAAAUGUAAAGAGAGUUCAAUUGUCAAACAAGUACUUGAAAGAAGAAACUCUUGGAGAUGCAAACGAGGAUGCCAUCAAGUCAGGAAACUUCUAUGGUUAGAGCUUAGAAUCUUAGAUUUUCCUUAAGUACUCCUUGACCCAAAAUAAAGUCAAUUAUAGGCUCUCAUUAUCAUAUGGUUUUAAUAUUGUUUUUAGAUGAAGUAAUGAUAUGAAAAAAGUGUCCAUUGAUUUUUAAAAUGGUGUUUUUGUAAUAAAAAUUUGUAUAUUUAUAAUUUUAAAA